AUGCGUUCACAAGUUCAUUUUCAAGUUCAGAGAUAUCUUCUACAUAGUCCAAACGAACGUCAAAUACUGCAUCCAAAAGGCGCCAUGAACCUGAGGCCAUUUUCAAAAUCUACGUGAAGUCUGAUUGUUGUUGUAUGCGGUUUUUCAAAGAGUAUAUCUGAAUGGAGAAUAAAAACUAGUGCAUAUACCGUCAAGAUGAUCAAAAGAUUGGGUCUCGCGGGUGGCCUUCCUUUGAUCCUUUGUGACAUGUAAGCAAUAUUGCCGACCAUUGAAUUUAUUAAUUCUUAUUCGUGUAUAUAUUCUCCAGCAUUGAUUCCAUGGUAUCAUUCUGGCAUUUUAACUAUUAGUGUUUCAGUCAAAUUCGUUUUUACCGAUAUGUCUUCAACUACCAGUUCUAUUCGUAACUAGCUGAAUGUCUUCAAAUACGGUUUGUUUUACUUCAGUUGCGACAAAACCAUUUGCAUCCUCAAACUUGGAAAAAUAAGYAAAGUUUUGAACGGGGCAAAUACAAAACCAGGAAGCCGGGUUUUAGUGACAUAUGAAAAGCAAGACUUAGAGGCAGAAAUAAUUGCUGUAGAGGGUAAGUUAAAACUGUAAUUUAUAGCUUUCAGUUCUUGUUAUAUCAUCACUAAUUGUCGAACAAAAAAUAUUUAUUAUAGAUGAUCUUCAAAAGUUGYGUACCGUCGAAACAGAGUUUCUGUGCGACAAGCAAAAUGCACAYUUGUUUAGCGACGAACCAACGUGCACAGAGGAAAUUGCUGGAGUAGGUGAAGAUAGUGUUGGCGAUAAUUCUAAUAACGUGGAAGACGGUGAACCCAAGAGCAGUAACAAGGACAAAAUUGGCACCAAAAGAAAGAAGUCAUCAAGUGCCGAGGUACGGCCGAAAUCAAAAACGACAAAAGUAAACAGGAAACAAGGCACAGAAAGAGUAGAAACAAACG
Molecule: long non-coding RNA, 941 nt
Organism: Exaiptasia diaphana
Lineage: Eukaryota; Metazoa; Cnidaria; Anthozoa; Actiniaria; Aiptasiidae
Exons: 4
Source: RefSeq, a predicted model, not a curated record